RNAcentral lists this transfer RNA (85 nucleotides) under Bacteroidales bacterium. Its description in RNAcentral is "tRNA-Leu". It matches the Rfam family "tRNA". From Rfam's summary of the family: Transfer RNA (tRNA) molecules are approximately 80 nucleotides in length. Their secondary structure includes four short double-helical elements and three loops (D, anti-codon, and T loops). Lineage: Bacteria; Pseudomonadati; Bacteroidota; Bacteroidia; Bacteroidales. The record is from RNAcentral.
GCCCAGAUGGCGGAAUUGGUAGACGCGCUAGUUUCAGGGACUAGUGACCUUUUUGGUUGUGCAGGUUCGAGCCCUGUUCCGGGCA